GUGCACCAGGCGCGAAAACUUUACAAUGCGGGCAACCGCGAUAAGGGGACCUCGAGUGCUGGGUUACAAACCUGGCUGUUGGGCUGCCUAAAAAGCAGUCUAUAGCAAGGGCCGGGCAAGACCGGUGCCAGCCGCCGCGGUAACACCGGCGGCUCGAGUGGUAACCGCUAUUAUUGGGUCUAAAGGGUCUGUAGCCGGCCGACUAAGUCUCUUGGGAAAUCUGGCAUCUCAAGUGUCAGGCUGCCAGGGGAUACUGGUCGGCUUGGGACCGGGAGAGGUGAGAGGUACCUCGGGGGUAGGGGUGAAAUCUUGUAAUCCUCGAGGGACCACCAGUGGCGAAGGCGUCUCACCAGAACGGAUCCGACGGCAAGGGACGAAAGCUAGGGGCACGAACCGGAUUAGAUACCCACGUAGUCC
RNAcentral lists this ribosomal RNA (417 nucleotides) under uncultured Methanosaeta sp. Its description in RNAcentral is "bacterial SSU rRNA". It matches the Rfam family "Archaeal small subunit ribosomal RNA", at positions 330 to 747 of the family's 1478-position model. Lineage: Archaea; Methanobacteriati; Methanobacteriota; Methanomicrobia; Methanotrichales; Methanotrichaceae. The record is from RNAcentral.